UGCGGGGUGGAGCAGCAUGGUAGCUCGUCGGGCUCAUAACCCGAAGGUC
Molecule: transfer RNA, 49 nt
Filed under: Oceanospirillaceae bacterium
Lineage: Bacteria; Pseudomonadati; Pseudomonadota; Gammaproteobacteria; Oceanospirillales; Oceanospirillaceae
Description: tRNA-Met
Source: RNAcentral